This 30-nucleotide transfer RNA is filed under the name Abudefduf sexfasciatus (scissortail sergeant). RNAcentral describes it as "partial tRNA-Thr". Lineage: Eukaryota; Metazoa; Chordata; Actinopteri; Pomacentridae. The record is from RNAcentral.
GCAAUAGUAGCUCAGCGCCAGAGCGCCGGU